UACAGAGGGUGCAAGCGUUGUUCGGAAUUAUUGGGCGUAAAGGGAGUGUAGGCGGUUCGAUAAGUCUUCUGUGAAAUCUACGGGCUAAACCUGUAACGUGCAGAAGAUACUGUAGAGCUUGAGUGUUGGAGAGGAUAGUGGAAUUCCCGGUGUAGAGGUGAAAUUCGUAGAGAUCGGGAGGAACACCAGUGGCGAAGGCGACUAUCUGGCUGACAACUGACGCUGAGACUCGAAAGCAUGGGGAGCAAACAGG
This 253-nucleotide ribosomal RNA is filed under the name uncultured prokaryote. Its description in RNAcentral is "partial 16S ribosomal RNA". It matches the Rfam family "Bacterial small subunit ribosomal RNA", at positions 524 to 776 of the family's 1533-position model. The record is from RNAcentral.